UGAAAUCGCCGGGCUCAAAAUGGGAAUUGCAUUCGAAAAUGGCAGGCUAGAGUAUUGUAGAGCCGGGGUAGAAUUGCAGGUGUAGCGACGCAAUCCCUACAGAUCUGGAGGAAUCCCGAAGUCGAAGGCGGCCCCCUGGACAAAGACUGACGCCCAGGUNCGAAAGCUNGGGGANCNNNCAC
This 182-nucleotide ribosomal RNA is filed under the name uncultured bacterium. RNAcentral describes it as "partial 16S ribosomal RNA". It matches the Rfam family "Bacterial small subunit ribosomal RNA", at positions 595 to 775 of the family's 1533-position model. The record is from RNAcentral.